GCGUCGGUAAGGUGAUAUGAACCGUUAUAACCGGCGAUUUCCGAAUGGGGAAACCCAGUGUGUUUCGACACACUAUCAUUAACUGAAUCCAUAGGUUAAUGAGGCGAACCGGGGGAACUGAAACAUCUAAGUACCCCGAGGAAAAGAAAUCAACCGAGAUUCCCCCAGUAGCGGCGAGCGAACGGGGAGCAGCCCAGAGCCUGAAUCAGUAUGUGUGUUAGUGGAAGCGUCUGGAAAGGCGCGCGAUACAGGGUGACAGCCCCGUACACAAAAAUGCACAUAUUGUGAGCUCGAUGAGUAGGGCGGGACACGUGGUAUCCUGUCUGAAUAUGGGGGGACCAUCCUCCAAGGCUAAAUACUCCUGACUGACCGAUAGUGAACCAGUACCGUGAGGGAAAGGCGAAAAGAACCCCGGCGAGGGGAGUGAAAAAGAACCUGAAACCGUGUACGUACAAGCAGUGGGAGCACGCUUAGGCGUGUGACUGCGUACCUUUUGUAUAAUGGGUCAGCGACUUAUAUUCUGUAGCAAGGUUAACCGAAUAGGGGAGCCGAAGGGAAACCGAGUCUUAACUGGGCGUUAAGUUGCAGGGUAUAGACCCGAAACCCGGUGAUCUAGCCAUGGGCAGGUUGAAGGUUGGGUAACACUAACUGGAGGACCGAACCGACUAAUGUUGAAAAAUUAGCGGAUGACUUGUGGCUGGGGGUGAAAGGCCAAUCAAACCGGGAGAUAGCUGGUUCUCCCCGAAAGCUAUUUAGGUAGCGCCUCGUGAAUUCAUCUCCGGGGGUAGAGCACUGUUUCGGCAAGGGGGUCAUCCCGACUUACCAACCCGAUGCAAACUGCGAAUACCGGAGAAUGUUAUCACGGGAGACACACGGCGGGUGCUAACGUCCGUCGUGAAGAGGGAAACAACCCAGACCGCCAGCUAAGGUCCCAAAGUCAUGGUUAAGUGGGAAACGAUGUGGGAAGGCCCAGACAGCCAGGAUGUUGGCUUAGAAGCAGCCAUCAUUUAAAGAAAGCGUAAUAGCUCACUGGUCGAGUCGGCCUGCGCGGAAGAUGUAACGGGGCUAAACCAUG
Molecule: ribosomal RNA, 1075 nt
Filed under: Escherichia coli
Lineage: Bacteria; Pseudomonadati; Pseudomonadota; Gammaproteobacteria; Enterobacterales; Enterobacteriaceae
Description: partial 23S ribosomal RNA
Rfam family: Bacterial large subunit ribosomal RNA
Source: RNAcentral